This is a long non-coding RNA of Beta vulgaris subsp. vulgaris (sugar beet), 402 nucleotides long. RefSeq lists it as uncharacterized. The transcript has 2 exons. NCBI's taxonomy places the organism in Eukaryota, Viridiplantae, Streptophyta, Magnoliopsida, Caryophyllales, Amaranthaceae. The record is from RefSeq and is a predicted model, not a curated record.
GGCAGAAAAGUAAACAGUUAGUUUAUUCUCUUAUUAUUUUCUCUCUCCUAUUCUCUCUCUUCAUCAAAGUCACGUUUAAACUCCAAAAACAAGAAAGAAGUUUUCUUCCUUUCCAACUAGCAUUGGUGGAGUGUUGAUCCGGGUUGGUGGACUAAGUAGAGGAAUCACAUCUGAGAUUCUCAAUCCGGGUUAUUCAAGCUUUGUGGAAAUCACGCUACAAAGAUAUCAUGUCUAAUAACAACAACAACAACUCCGGUUUCAACAUUCGUCCUUUUCUGGAAAAGGACAGACUGAAUGGUGAAAAUUUCCUUAAUUGGGAAAGGACCUUAAGACUCGUUCUGAGGUUUGAGGGUCGAGAGGACGUCUUAGAUACCCCGCUUCCUGUAAUAACUGAUGAAUCAA